UAUUGGUAGGUCAAAUGAAGAUGUAGAUAGAU
RNAcentral lists this non-coding RNA (32 nucleotides) under Rattus norvegicus (Norway rat). Lineage: Eukaryota; Metazoa; Chordata; Mammalia; Rodentia; Muridae. The record is from RNAcentral.